This 3964-nucleotide long non-coding RNA is filed under the name Sus scrofa (pig). RNAcentral describes it as "lncRNA (ENSSSCG00000057189.1)". Lineage: Eukaryota; Metazoa; Chordata; Mammalia; Artiodactyla; Suidae. The record is from RNAcentral.
AGAGUAAGUUCUUGCUUAAGUCCGAGUCUACUCCCCGCUCCCUCCCCUCCCCCGCGGCCCCCCCCCCAGUUCUUUUUUGCCAAAAAUGUCCAGCAAGCAAAUGAAAGGUUGUCCUACGCUAAGCGGUGUUUUCCAACCCAGUAGUUUUCUCUCUUGUUUUUGUUGUAAGAUCAAAGUAUAUUUGCCGUCUCUCUCGUGGGUGGGGAGAAGCAGGGGUCAAGGACUAACAUCUGGAGGAAUGUUUGGAAUUGUUGGUUUUUAACAGGACGGAUGGUUCAAGCCCCGUCCUUCCGUAUCUCCUUUUAUCGGAAUCCUCUUGUUCCUUUGAACAAUGGGCCUCUCAGCUCCCUUCUACCGAAGAUCUCUCCCUGUCGGGAGAUGUUCAUUCGACAAGAACUUAGCCUCUGAAUGUUCCUCAGAAGCGUGUUGGGGAAAAUUGCAGGUUCUCGAGAAGGUGUGAGUCCAGAUGUAGUGAGGCAGUAAGGAGAGGGGGCUUCUGGGGAUUCAGGAAAGGGUUCAGAGAGAAGGGGCUGGAACCCACCCUUGGAGAGUGAAUACGUGUUCCUGGGGCACUGGAAGUAAAGCAGAGAAGCCCCGAGGAGGAGGAGGAGUAUGAACCGGGGUCCAGAACACACUCAAGGGACAGCCCUAGGCUGCCUGCAAGGUGACACUGAAUGUCGUGUCCUUCCAGCCUCUUGAUUUCGCCCUCCGUGCCCUGUCCCCCAGGCCAGCAGCCUCUCCUAUUCCACAUGCCCAGCCAAGAAGGAGGUGUGUAGGCAGGAGCUGUGGGGCAGGUGAUCUAAUCACCGCAGGGGUUCGCCGAUCUGGGAGGUUAGAGCUGUGUUAAAACGCUUAGCAUCUAGUGCUGUGAUAUUUUGACUGAAAACACGUCACGACCACAAUUAAUGUGGAAGGUUUUGCUGUUUGUAAAAACACUGGUCUAUGUUUUGAUCUUCCCCAGGUUUUUAAACUCUGAUUCUAGGUUCGAGAGGAAAUGGGAUUACAAGGUUGGGAUAAAACUGAGCAAAGAAAAAAGUAAUACUCAGAAAACAAUCAAAAGUAGAGAAACAGGUACUUGUUCUUAUAAAUAUGACUGCAAGUUGGGUAAGUCUCUUUGGAGGACAGUUUGGCCAUUGGGGAUAAAAAUAAUAUUUGUGGGGGUUUUUUGACCAGGCAAUGCCACAUCUGGGAUUUUAUGCUUUCUUUUUCUUUUUCUUUUUGUUGGCUGCACUCAGGGCAUGUAGAACGUCCUGGGCCAGGGGAUCGAACCCCGCACCGCAGCUGUGACCCAAGCUACUGCAGUGACAAUGCUGGAUCCUUAACCCAUUGUGCCACAAGGGAGCUCCAGGCAUUUUUACUUUGUACAUAUGGGUGCAAAAAGUAUGUAUUUCAGAAAUAUUUACACGAUGUAUAAAAAUACAUGCACAGGUAUGUUUAUUGCAGCAUUGUUUGCAGUAGAGGAAACCUAUAGUUGUGUAAAGGCCUCAUAACAAUAUCCCGCUAGGGAAUGGUUAAGCAAAUUUCACUUAUUUUAUAAAAAUAAGAGACCUAUUGGUACUAACACAGAAGAAUGUCCAAGAUUUAUAAGUGAAAAAGGCAAGUUGUGAAACAAAAUGAAUCAUAUGAUCCCAUUUUUAUUUGUAUAUUUUGUCAAGAAGAUGUGUGCUGAAGCAUAUAUAACAAGCAGUUAACUGUGGUUAUCUCUGGAUGUGGGAUUAUUAGGGCAGUUUACUUCCUGCCACAAAUUUCUGUAUGUUUGGAUUGUUUUACCUAUUACUUUGGUAGUAAGAAACAUAAUAAAAAGAAUUUAAGAUAAAAUUAAUAAGGGGGGAAGGGGUGGGAUGGACUGGGAGUUUGGGGUUGGCAGAUGCAAACUAUUACACUGAGAAUGGGUAAGCAAUGAGGUCCUGCUGAACAGCGCAGGGACCUGUAGCCCGUCUCUUAGGACAGACCAUGAUGGAGGAUAAUAUAAGAAAAAAAAUGUAUAUAUAUAUGCGUUGUGCCUGGGUCCCUUUGCUGUGCAGCAGAAAUUGGCACAGCUUUGUCAACCAACUAUACUUUCAUUUUAAAAAAUGUUAAAAAUAAAAUUAAUAAGAGCUCUAACAGUGACAAGGAAGGAAGAUCCCUCUGAGGCUCCAGGAUGCAAAAAGGGUCCGCUCGCCGUUUUCCCCAAGGAAAACAAGCAGGAAGGAGGCAGCAAAGGACAAUGACCGACUGGACGCUGGAUUCAAAAUGAGGAAAUAGGACAGGCGAAGCAUCCAGGGCUGCUCUAGGCGUGUCCACGGGGAUGGGGCGGGGGACACAGUCAGACGUCAAGGAAGUUGUAGCCAGCAGACACUUACGGGCACUUGGUGUUCUUUGCAGAGUUAUGGUCACACAUCAGCAGCUGUUCUGGCAAAUCUCUCACAACACCAGUAAUGACAGGAGCUAUAACACUGUGCUUGUGAUGGGCCGGGCCCUGCUCCAAGGCCCCUAACCUGUGUUCACUCUAGUCCUCAAAGCAACCCUAGGAGGAAAGUAUGAUUCCUGUCCUCAUACUUUAGGCAGGAAACGGAGGCCAGGGGAGAUUUUAAGCAAAGCAGGGUCGUGCAGCCUUUAAGCGGCAGACCCAGGCAUUUAAGCCCAGCAGCCUGGCUCCAGAGGUCCAGACCCCCGCAAUGCUGUGUCUAAAAGAGCCAGGUAGGAUAAAGGUCUUCGUGGUGCAUCUCUUUGCUCCAAGCAUUGUAAUUCUACGUUGAUUUGUGUUUACCUAAACUGCGGCCCUCCCUGCGCCCUCGGUAAUUCUGAAUGAGUGCGUGCGUGAAUAAUCUACGUUCCUACAGAGAGAGGGAUCUGAGCUUCCUGGUGGAGGGAUCGUUCGUGGGUCCUUUGCGGUCAGCUGCUGUGUGCCCCACAUGUGCUAACAACGUGAAUUUCAGUCAUCUGCAAGCAUGUUUUUGAACAGUUGUGCGGAAGUCAAACUUGAUCAAUUGAUUCCCAAAUACACCAGGGCGGCUUAUGAGUAAAUGAGGAUGAACUCCUGGCAGAGUGGAGAGUAGCCCGGGUAACAGAGCUAAACCUGGAGACACCUGCAUAACCACAUGCAAGUGCACAUGGAAUCUAUUUGCUUGCAAAGUGGCCGCCGAGGAGCUGCAGGAUUUCCAGUUAUUUGAGCCCUUCUCUUUCUUUCCCUCUCUCUUGGUUUCUGAAAUGCGGACAAAAGCACGUAUCUCUCCAGAUAUUGUGUGGCCAAGGAUUCAAUCGCCUAUGGAAAGAGCUGAGCCAAUUGCCUAGGAGGUAGGUAUCACUCAGUAACUGUUACCUACUAUCAGUGGGUCUGCAGAUUCUAAGUGUAAGCAGAUUUCUUUGUCUCUGGUGACUAUAAACACGACACCUGACACAGUCUGCAACACCUGGGCGCUCCUACACAUCUAAGGCUUGGAGAUGACACAGCUGGGGCUCAGCCCCCCACCCUGGCUACGAAAAGCCGCAGGCAAAGCCGAGUCUUAUCUUGUUUCUCCUGUGCUAGCUCCCACCUCCCUCUUCUUCCUCUUUCCUUGGGUUGGUUAAAGCCAUCGCGUGUCUUGGACCUAUUUAAACUCUUGGCCUUGGAGGCAGGAAGAAAACGGUCUCCCUUCUUCACAGCUGAGGAAACUGAAGUGCUGGAAACGAGACCAGAAACCCACAGAGCGGAGGGUGGAGAACAGGGGGCAGAAUGAGAACUAGGGUGGGGGCACUCGCCACAAGUCCCGAUGUAACAUGAGGUCCAAACGGGAGGGGAAGUGGCCAGAUGGCUAUGGUGAGAAGUCAUGUGGUGAAACAGAAACUAGAGGAACGAAGGGGAUGUGUCUUUGUCAACCACCAUGAGGAGAAAGAACAGGACUUGUAUCUUCUAGAAUGGACUCAGAGAAAGACCCGAUUAGAGUGGCCUAGCUGGUAAAGCCAGGCCUUCUUUUUCUUUUUUCUUUCAUUGUUCUCCCCGCCC